Long non-coding RNA from Pipistrellus kuhlii (Kuhl's pipistrelle), 1402 nucleotides. RefSeq lists it as uncharacterized. The record is from RefSeq and is a predicted model, not a curated record. NCBI's taxonomy places the organism in Eukaryota, Metazoa, Chordata, Mammalia, Chiroptera, Vespertilionidae. The transcript has 3 exons.
CUUCCUAACAGUGCGGUUAAGGCUUAGAGAUGACACUAUAUUAAGUGCUUCUAGGAGUGACCUAGCAGGUAACAGACUUGCCUGGGGGGAAGAGGGGCUGAGGAAGAUGGCCACUAAGUUCUCUGUGACAAGUACCCAGACAGCACUAUUUUUAGCUGCCCUUUCUGGGCAAAGCUCCACCUCUUGCAUUUUAAUGGAGAAAUAAUUCUCACAGUGCCUCAAGCUGUAGCCUGCAGGUGUCACAUCCAUAUUAAAAAGGGGACAGAGCAAGGGUUCAUUUGCCUGGCUUGAGUUGUGGCUGGAAUUCAACUCCAGAACCAUUUGUAACCAAGGCUGUGAAGACCAAUUAGUAUAUCUGACCACUCUGAGGGAUGAGACUGGUAGAAGUGAAAUCAGCAUGGCCAGGGGCCUUGAAUCACCCAGUCUUUCUCUAUCUGCCUCUUUCCUCCAGAAUGCUCUGCUGUUCACAGGCAUUAAUGGUGCCUUCCAAGAGCUCUGUUCAGGGACAGGCCUGUGACCUUGCUCAUCCCAGAAGGCAGUUGUUGAGUAGGAUGCUGAUCCUUUUGGGCCAAUGAGCAGAGACCUUGGCUAAUCUGAGUGGGGCAAUGUUAGCAUAUCCUGUUGCAAAGCCCAAGUAUUAAACUAAGAUACGGAGCCAAAGUUUGCCCCAAGUAGCCAAACCCCAAGCCUCCAAGGGCAGGGAACCCACAGAGAAGCUGGAGGCUGACAUGAAGUGAGGAGGCAGAAUAGAUGGGGGUGGGGAGCAGCAGAUCCAAAUGCAAACAAAAGAGAAAUGUAUAAAAUGCUCGCCUUCACUUCCGUCCCCCACUCAGAGGGAAGCACUAUUAAGGAUUUGCUGUCCUUCCAGACUUUUCCCCAGGUUACACAUUUACAAAAAUGAAGUCAGACAUAUUAUUCUGCAACUUUUUGUUGUUUUUUCUUUACCAAAGUCAGUCCUUCUGUUUCUUUACUUUUUAAACAAGGUGUAACAUAUAUCUAGUGUUUAAAAGACAGUAGUCCUCAGUGUAUAGCCCCAUGAAUUUUCACACAAGUAUCUCUACCCAUGCAAUCAUCAUCCAGGUCAAGAUAUAAAACACUUUUAAAAUCCAGAAACUUCCCCAGAGCCCCUUUGUUAUGGAAAGAGCCAAGGUCUGAGUAAAUCUGAUGGGGUAUUACGUGUGGAUUUCGAAGAAAUAACUCAGAGGCCUAGCUGUGAAAGACACAGGUUUACUACUGGCGGUUCCCUGAGUCUCUGCAGCACAGGGUUCACAGCGAGUGUAGGAAACAAGACAAACUGCACGGGGGCCCAGGCUUGCACACAGCUGUGGGAGAUCUGAACGCUAGCUGAUUCUCUACAGUUGUUCACAGCCCAGGCUCUCAUCUACCCUGUUUCCCAGCAAGU